GAUGAAGAACGUAGCAAAAUGCGAUAAGUAAUGUGAAUUGCAGAAUUCAGUGAAUCAUCGAAUCUUUGAACGCACAUUGCGCCCCUUGGUAUUCCGGGGGGCAUGCCUGUUCGAGCGUCAUUUCAACCCUCAAGCUCAGCUUGGUAUUGAGUCCAUGUCAGUAAUGGCAGGCUCUAAAAUCAGUGGCGGCGCCGCUGGGUCCUGAACGUAGUAAUAUCUCUCGUUACAGGUUCUCGGUGUGCUUCUGCCAAAACCCAAAUUUUCUAUGGUUGACCUCGGAUCAGGUAGGGAUACCCGCUGAACUUAAGCAUAUCAAUAAGCGGAGGA
This 327-nucleotide unclassified non-coding RNA is filed under the name soil metagenome. RNAcentral describes it as "partial contains 5.8S ribosomal RNA, internal transcribed spacer 2, and large subunit ribosomal RNA". The stretch from base 1 to 120 matches the Rfam family "5.8S ribosomal RNA", at positions 35 to 154 of the family's 154-position model. The record is from RNAcentral.